ACAAGACACACACAUGCACAGGCACACGCGCAUACACACUGUUUUGCCCUGCUUCCACGAUCGUUCAGCCUCGAAGUGAUACGCCAGCGUCCCGCUCCUUGUAUUAUUAUGGUGUGCGCUCGCCCUCAUUGAACGGUUCGGGCGUAUUAUCCUCUUGUGAUUACUGCUGCUUGCUCUUUGUUUUCGUAUCUUCUUGUUUUCCGUGCUGCGCCGCCAAGGCAUCCCCCGCUCGCCCGCCCCCUUCAGCGCUCGCUAUCACGCUGCAACGAGGCUCUGACGCAGAGCGUGUGCCUGUCUAGAGUGUACGCCUGCUCCUCUUUGAAUGCUCUGCCUCGGCUUUGUGCCCCUUCUUUUCUGCUAUUUCCCCGGCGUUCAUAACGCCACACCAGUCGGCGCUAAUCCCACACACCGGCACCGACAGACUCGCGUAGGUGCACCUAUAUCCCCACACCCACCCAGGCCCGCCGCCCCCCCUCCAUCGCGCUCUCGCGCUCCCUUUCCGUGAGACACGCGAGUACCUCGACCCCCUUUACGUUUCCCGUGCUCUUCCACUGCUCGGCGUUCAAGCCGGCUCAACAGUUGUCGGGUGAGGUUGCUCGGUGUUCUUUGUACGGGGCACACUUCUCCGUGUAUCACAGACACAGCUGUGCCACACAAACCCACACAACAGCUCGACCUCUCCGCACGCGCACGCACCGAGUCUCGCUGGCGCCCUCACUUUUCGCCAAUGCGCCGCACGCUGUUGGGGAUCGCGGUGACCUUUGCGUUGGUGUGUUGCGUUGUCGGCGCUGGCGCAGCGCAGGGGGACCCGGAGCGAGCCGACUCAGAGGAGCCGCGCUGCGGGUUUGACGAGUUGGAGGCGCGCAUGAUCGGCACCCGCGUGAGUGUGAUAAGCCGUGUAGAGCCGCCUACCGGGGAGCUUGCGGUUGCGGCUGCCGCAACGGGGGCCUGGCAGCCCAUCCGCAUUGCCGUCUUCACAGAGGACAUCUCGAACAGCAGCCAGCACUGCACCGCUUCGGGCCAGAGUCGGCCCACCUUCCGUGGCGGCAGGGUGACCUGCAGCGCAGCGGACGUUCUCACAAGAGAAAAGAAACGGGUGCUGCUGGAGCUGCUGAUUCCAUCCGCAGUACAGCUGCACCAAGAGCGGCUGAACGUGCAGCGGGAGAACGGCAACAUAGUUGUUAGCCCCUUUAUAAAGAAACACAGUAUCUGCGGUCAGUUCAGCAUACCCGAAGAACACAUGAAGACCGGUGUGCCGGACGCCGACUUUGUUCUGUACAUGUCUGCUGCGCCAACAUCUGGCAGUGUCAUCGCGUGGGCGGUGAAGUGUCAGAGCUUCGACAAUGGCCGCCCGUCUGUGGGCGUGGCGACCAUCUCACCCAAGUACAUCACCGCCGAGCCGAAGACCGUGCGCGUCGUCGCGCACGAGGUGUUGCAUGCACUCGGCUUCACGAGGUCAGUUUUCAAGCAACAGAACAUGCUGGUGAUGGCUUCUUUUCGAGGCAAGAGCCCCUCACCUGUCAUUCGCAGCGCAAACGUGGUUGCGCAGGCGCAGCUACAUUACGGCUGCAAAACGCAGGCUUCCAUGGAGCUGGAAGACGAGGGUGGAAAGGGAACCGUUUCGUCACACUGGAAGCGCCGCAGCGCCAAAGACGAGCUGAUGGCGGGCUUCAGCGGCGUCGGCGUCUACUCGGCGCUCACCAUCGCCGCCAUGGAGGACACGGGCUACUACCAGGGCAACUACGCCAAGGCGGAGCCGAUGGCGUACGGCCACGAAGUGGGCUGCAAACUGAGUUCCGAGCGGUGCGUCAUCAAAAGCACUUCACAGAUUCCUGCCAUGUUUUGCGAUGCCCCCGACGCUCCGUGGAGCUGCACCUCUGAUCGCCGAGGCAUCGGGCGGUGCAUCCUUACCUCUUACAAUUCCAACCUGCCCACCUAUUUUCAAUACUUCGGUGACCCGAGGUUGGGUGGCCCAGAUCCCCUGAUGGACUUCUGCCCGUUUGUGAGGGCUGCCGACGACACAAUGUGUGCCGCUAAAACGAACGCCCUGAAGGGCAGCGUGUAUGGCGUCAUGUCGCGCUGUGUCGACACACCGGCAGGCUUUUCCAUUGAUGACUCGGCGGUCCAGCAGCACGGCAUCUGUGCUGAGGUGCAGUGCGGCAGCUCCGCGUACGGCGUCAAAAUAAAUGGCGCGUCUGCGUUCCGGGAUUGUCCGCCUGGCAGCACCUACAACCUGUCGACAUUGAGCCCGUCCUUCUCUAAAGGGCAUUUGGUGUGCCCCUCUUAUGAGUCCGUGUGCGCCAUCAACAUAAACGCCUCGCUGUACGAAGAAUACAGUAGGCUUCUCACCGACCACAGCGUGACUGGUGCGCGGACAAGUGUGACGGCGGUGGUGGCAGUGCUUCUCGUGGUGCUUUUCAUGGGCUGAUCGCCCUGGUUCUCGUGCACAAGUGGCGGCAUUCACGCGCGUGUUUGUGUCUGUGUGUGGCGCUCGUGUCCCCGUCGGCAUGUGCGAACAACGGUGCUACGCGCCGUAGGGGCGUGUGUGCCACUGCCGCAUGCACUGUGCAGUGUGGGCAAAUGCGCGUGGCAGUGCGUCGGCCCUCCAUCUCUAUACACAUUCAUGUAACGGAAUAGUUUCACUUCUUUUCUGCAUAAUGCAGAUCUUCGCUUUCUCUCUUUCUCGUUUCGCACGCUCUUGCCUUUGCGGUGAGGGGGCACGGUUGCGGGCGCGGUGCCACGAGCACGGUGUGCCUGUGCAUGUGGGUGCUUGUGUGCUGCCCCUUCUCGCUGCUCCCUCCGCUUGCCCCUCCCCUCCGCCACGGCGUGCCUUUUGUCCUUCUCCUACCAUCUCCCCUCUCCCCCUCCUGCGUUGUCGCUUGGCGUCCCCUUCUCGCUGUGCUUGUCUCCUUGUCAUUCUUUGGCGGCAUGUUGCACGUCCCGCCUGUCACACUCCCUUCCACCCACUCCCUGCAGAGCGCUGCGUGGCGUCGUGGCGCGCACCCUUUCUCCCUCCAAAAAGGCAAGAGGAACGGCGAAGAACGUUCAGAACGCAUGGCUAUACCGACUGCAAAAGAC
Molecule: unclassified non-coding RNA, 3078 nt
Filed under: Leishmania donovani
Lineage: Eukaryota; Euglenozoa; Kinetoplastea; Trypanosomatida; Trypanosomatidae
Description: gene:LdHU3.28.0780(CDS-product:major_surface_prot ease_gp63_putative)
Source: RNAcentral